UGCCAGCCGCCGCGGUAAUACGGAGGGUGCAAGCGUUGUUCGGAAUUAUUGGGCGUAAGGCGCGUGUAGGCGGUUCGUUAAGUCUGAUGUGAAAGCCCGGGGCUCAACCCCGGAAGUGCAUUGGAAACUGGCGAACUUGAGUACGGGAGAGGAAAGUGGAAUUCCGAGUGUAGGGGUGAAAUCCGUAGAUAUUCGGAGGAACACCAGUGGCGAAGGCGGCUUUCUGGACCGAUACUGACGCUCAUGUGCGAAAGUGUGGGUAGCGAACAGGAUUAGAUA
This 279-nucleotide ribosomal RNA is filed under the name uncultured bacterium. RNAcentral describes it as "partial 16S ribosomal RNA". It matches the Rfam family "Bacterial small subunit ribosomal RNA", at positions 506 to 784 of the family's 1533-position model. The record is from RNAcentral.